UUCUAGCCUGGCUUUGGCCAAGUAUCUUGCUUCAAGGUGAUGCGGCAGGUGGGAGCUGACUUUCUUGAGGAAGAAGGAAUUGGUUUUCAUUGUUUCUAAGGAUGGCAUUGAUACUAUGAUGAUCAUAUAUGAUGGUUGAUGAGAGUUUUCUAAUUCAUUAGAAAGUGGCGUGUGUCUCUUUAGAGGUUGCUGCAGGAUCAGGCUCUCUCCAAAAAACAUCUCUUCAUCAAAACUGAUCAAUGAGUAAGUGUAUAUAUGUAAUCCUUGUAAAUAAAUACUUAAAUACAUGUAAUUUCCUUUUUCAAGUUUUGUGACUUAGAGGAAGUAUUAAAACUAUUCAGUUUCAGAAUAAUAGUACGCC
Molecule: long non-coding RNA, 361 nt
Filed under: Rosa chinensis
Lineage: Eukaryota; Viridiplantae; Streptophyta; Magnoliopsida; Rosales; Rosaceae
Description: sRNA RchiOBHm_Chr4g0394541
Source: RNAcentral